Molecule: ribosomal RNA, 468 nt
Filed under: uncultured bacterium
Lineage: Bacteria
Description: partial 16S ribosomal RNA
Rfam family: Bacterial small subunit ribosomal RNA
Source: RNAcentral
GACGAACGCUGGCGGCGUGCUUAACACAUGCAAGUCGAACGGAAAGGCCCUGCUUUUGUGGGGUGCUCGAGUGGCGAACGGGUGAGUAACACGUGAGUAACCUGCCCUUGACUGUGGGAUAACUUCAGGAAACUGGGGCUAAUACCGGAUAGGAGCUAAUGCUGCAUGGGGGGGGUUGGAAAGUUUCGGCGGUUGGGGAUGGACGCGCGGCUUAUCAGCUUGUUGGUGGGGUAGUGGCUGACCAAGGCUUUGACGGGUAGCCGGCCUGAGAGGGUGACCGGCCACAUUGGGACUGAGAUACGGCCCAGACUCCUACGGGAGGCAGCAGUGGGGAAUAUUGCACAAUGGGCGGAAGCCUGAUGCAGCAACGCCGCGUGCGGGAUGACGGCCUUCGGGUUGUAAACCGCUUUCGCCUGUGACGAAGAGUGAGUGACGGUAACGGGUAAAGAAGCACCGGCUAACUACGUG